GUUGUGGAUGAAUGGACGAAGCUUCUAGUUCAGGCAGCAUCGCUGAUAGCUGUGGUUCAGGCCUGGAUCCUAUUGGUCCAUAAGAGAGUUGUUUGUCUGAAUGAGAAACCUCGCAUCGGAUAUGGUCCGAUGUUCAUCCGGGAUCAAGAGAGGAUAGCGAAUCUGAACUACAUCUACAACUGCAAUGACAUAGAGGCUCUAUGGAUGCUUAAAAGAGCACCUUUCUCCAGGCUUGUAUAGACGUUCAGGAGCAGGGGGAUGCUACAAGAUAGCAUCCACACCCGUAUGGAAGAGCGAGUGUCCAUGUUCCUCCAUGUUGUUGGUCAUAAUCAGAGGUUCAGGGUUGUACACAACACCUUCAGGGGAUCAAUGGAGACAAUCUCCAAGUACUUCAAGCAAGUGUUGUAUGUUGUUGGGGAGCUAAGAGGAGAGAUGAUCAGGUCACCAACUGAUCGGACUCCUACCAAGAUUCGGACUAGCACAAGAUGGUACCCAUACUUCAAGGUGAGAACUUACAGUAUGUAG
This 525-nucleotide ribosomal RNA is filed under the name Triticum aestivum (bread wheat). RNAcentral's name for it is "partial small subunit ribosomal RNA". Lineage: Eukaryota; Viridiplantae; Streptophyta; Magnoliopsida; Poales; Poaceae. The record is from RNAcentral.